GCCUCUUCCCCGUCGUGCUCCCGCCCUGCCUCUUCCCCGUCGCCCCAGCCCCACGUCACACACUGGCCUGUUUGUCCCUGCAGUGUGCGUGGUGCAUGGGGAGGCCCCGCCCUACCAGGCACGGAGGAGCCCCAGCAGGUAAUUAGUGAAUUCACGGGUGAGACGAGGCUCAGCCGAAGCCUCCUGGGACCCAAGGAGAGGAACAGCCAGGCGACAGCGAACGUUCGCUUUAUUACACGGACACGGCGCUAACCCGACUAUUGCAUCUCACAGCAUCUACAGGCCAAACCCAUAGUACGUCAGACGGAGCGGCGAGGGCCACCUCGCAGCCCUGCACAGCCUGCAGACCCAGGGCAUGGGCUUCUCACAACUACAGAAAACAACUCAACUCCUCUGGGAGAGUCAAAAAAAAGAGGAGGAGAAAGUAGAGAGUAAGUCCCCUCCCCACCAGGCUGCACAUGGCUGUGCCCCCGCCUGGUCCUCACCGGCCCGACCCCCUCGGCCCUGGCAGAUGGGGUUGGGGAGCUGACAGCUGGCCUGGCGGGGCUCCCCACCCCAGCCAGGUGGGGACAAGGGAGGCCUGUUGCCGUCAUUGACGUAUUUCAAAAGCAGGUUUCACUCUGAGUACUGACGCUGAGUUCCCGUUCCUCUGGGUCUUUGGGAAGCUACUCCGGGGCUUGGCUGGAUUGAAACAUAAAGAACAGAAAGUGUCCAAAAUGGAGUUUCCUAGAACUUCGGGAAAAUGGAGCAGGGGUUGUCAGCAGCGCCCUGGCCUUAUCUCUGAAGUGUGCACGGGAGCUGGCGGGCCUCUGGGAGGCCAGCCCCAUGGACUCCCCCCUCUCCUCACUGUCUUCCUCUCCGGCCAGCACGCUCAUCAUCCAGGGCCCCAGCCCCAUUUUGGAGAGCACCCCCUCAGUGUGGGAGCUUGCAGGGCAGUGUGGGAGGAAAUAGGCCCCGGGGCUCGGGGAUGCAGGGCAGGGAGGCUGCAGAGGACCCUGGGGAGCACCCAUCACUCCUGGCAGAAUUUAUCCAGGCAGGUCUGUUCCCAGAAGUCCCCAGUCUCAGGCCGUAAGGACUCAACUCUGAGCCAUCUGGGAUCCCAGGAAAGGGAAUGGGAGCCUGGCACCUAGCCUUUGAUCACCACAGCCAACUGCCCUGCCCACCUGGAAGGGCACUGGAGUGUGGGUGGGGACAAGAUGGAGCCCCAGUGGGGGAGAGAGAUGAGAAGAGUCCCAGGACGUCUACCUCCGAGGGAGAACGAGGUUUCUGUUGUCAGACUUGGUUCCAGACGGUACCUGACCGGUGGUGACCCGACAGGAUCCAUCCUUAUGAUGCUCAAAGAAUGAAUUUUUACCACCGUGAAAGAACCACCAGCAGGCAAACCGCUCCUCCCCUCGGGGCCACUGUUCGGAUUUCUUUGAAAAUCUGUUUCCUACACUUCGCAAACUCCUGCGGUUUCUGUUUUUUAUUUGGCAAACAUCUCGUUUAUUACCAUCAUGAAUAUCAUUUGGACCUCUGCA
This 1520-nucleotide long non-coding RNA is filed under the name Homo sapiens (human). RNAcentral describes it as "HSALNT0235371". Lineage: Eukaryota; Metazoa; Chordata; Mammalia; Primates; Hominidae. The record is from RNAcentral.